GAGUUUAUUAAAUUUUUAUGAAGUAAUUUUAAUAAUCUUGAAGUUAUCUUGACUAUUCUGAGAAUCAAAAGUUAGUAAGAACAAUCUAUCUUCAAUUCAGAGAAAAGUUAAGUAUUCAUUUUUAAAAUAACAUUUUCUUUUUUUUUCUUUUAGUUGAAGUUUUUGAUGAAUACAAGUACCUAGAGUGCAUUUCUGAUGAAUCUUUAUGUACCUAGUUAUAUUUAUUUUUGGCUAAAGGAACUUAGAAGAGAAAAUUGUAACUUCGAUAAGUCAUGAAAAGUUCUGGGAAUUAGUCAUGGAAAGUCAUGAAUUUCAAAAUCUAAAAUGUAGCAGAUAUCCUGAUUGUGCCUGGAGUUUAAAAAAAAAUAUGAAGACUGUUCUUUUCAAGAUUCGGAGAUCUUAAUAAAGAUGUUGAAUUACCUUUAUACUUCAUCAAGGUCGCCACCCAACUGGAAACCUGGAAUUAUCAGGGAAUUUUUUUUAUACUGGAAAAACCAGGAAAAUUCAGACAAAAACCUGGAAAAAUCAGGGAUUUUUAAGGAAGAACUUGAAUUUCUUUCUUUUAUUUUUCUUAAUUUAACUAAUUUAAAUUAUUUAUUAAUUUUCUUAGUUAACAUUAUUUUACCAUCUGUUAUACCCACUUUUAGAGGAAAAUUUAUUGCCAAGCAGUUGAAAUACCAUCACCUUAGCAAUACUUCACUUGCAUCAAAAUUUGGUCCAUUAUAACCUUGUUAAACUAGAAUCCCACUUGAAACUCACCCCUAAUUACUAAAUGAAUAGAGAAUCCUUCCACCUCUUUGGGAGUCGAUUGGACUAUGCAGUUUAGGGAGGACAAAGAUUCUGGAGGAUGUGAAAGAAAGGGUUAGGAUAUUUGCUUCUAUUUAUAAAAGUAUGUUUUUUUUUUCUUCCAGUAGGUAGACUGAAUCCAUUUAUCGUUCUACUUAUUGUUUGACAAAAUUAUUCAAAAUAUUUCAGUAUUUUUAACUUUUAUAAGAUUCUCCAAAAGUUAGUUGGUCAUAAUUUAGCAACAAUAGAUUUUUAUUGCACCCUUUUUCUGAAAGCUUAUGUGCUCUCAUCCAAUGAAAUCCAUGAAAUAUUUUUUCUCAGCUAAGCCAACCAAUCGCACAUUUUUUUAUAAUCUCUAACAGAAAUGUUUGUCAACAAAUCGUAACAAUUAUUGCAGUAAUGCUAAUUUUCUUGAUUUAAUUUUAAACUUUUAUAACGUAUUCUAAUUUUAAAAAAAAGUUCUUUUCAAAACCAACUAUAUAUUAACAUUUAAUUUUACUGUUUCGUUGGUAAAUAUUUAACUUUUGAUUCAAAAUUAGAUUUGUGCAAUAAUCACAAUGUCGAGAGUUGGUAAAUGUUGCUUGCAAUCCAAAGAUGAUAUUUCAGAAACUGUUUCUCUUUUUACCCUUACAAGCAGGCAAAAACUAAGGAAUGUUUGGGAAACAUGCUAAAUCAUGAAUAAACAUAAAAUAUUAAAAAAAAA
This is a long non-coding RNA of Parasteatoda tepidariorum (common house spider), 1489 nucleotides long. RefSeq lists it as uncharacterized. The record is from RefSeq and is a predicted model, not a curated record. NCBI's taxonomy places the organism in Eukaryota, Metazoa, Arthropoda, Arachnida, Araneae, Theridiidae.